RNAcentral lists this ribosomal RNA (440 nucleotides) under uncultured bacterium. RNAcentral's name for it is "partial 16S ribosomal RNA". It matches the Rfam family "Bacterial small subunit ribosomal RNA", at positions 338 to 795 of the family's 1533-position model. The record is from RNAcentral.
CCUACGGGUGGCAGCAGUGGGGAAUAUUGCACAAUGGGGGAAACCCUGAUGCAGCGACGCCGCGUGAGUGAAGAAGUAAUUCGUUAUGUAAAGCUCUAUCAGCAGGGAAGAAAAUGACGGUACAUGAGUAAGAAGCCCUGGCUAACUACGUACCAGCAGCCGCGGUCAUACGUAGGGGCGACGCGUUAUCCGGAUUUACUGGGUGAAAAGGGAGCGUAGGCGGUAGUGCAAGUCUGGAGUGAAAGGCCGGGGCUCAACCCCCGGACUGCUCUGGAAACUGUACGUCUGGAGUGCAGGAGAGGUAAGUGGAAUUCCUAGUGUAGCGGUGAAAUGCGUAGAUAUUAGGAGGAACACCAGUGGCGAAGGCGGCUUACUGGACUGUAACUGACGUUGAGGCUCGAAAGCGUGGGGAGCAAACAGGAUUAGAUACCCGGGUAGUC